This is a small nuclear RNA of Otolemur garnettii (small-eared galago), 162 nucleotides long. Its record names the gene U1. It matches the Rfam family "U1 spliceosomal RNA". From Rfam's summary of the family: U1 is a small nuclear RNA (snRNA) component of the spliceosome (involved in pre-mRNA splicing). Its 5' end forms complementary base pairs with the 5' splice junction, thus defining the 5' donor site of an intron. Lineage: Eukaryota; Metazoa; Chordata; Mammalia; Primates; Galagidae. The record is from Ensembl.
AAACUUACUUGGCAGGGGAGAUACCAUGAUCAUGAAGGCGGUUUCCCCAGGGCAAGAUUUAUCCAUUAUACUCUGGGUGUGCUGAUCCCUAUGAUUUCCCCAAAUGUGGGAAACUCGACUGCAGAAUUUGUGGUAGUGGGGACUGAGUUCAUGCUCUCCCUU